CCAGACUCCUACGGGAGGCAGCAGUGAGGAAUAUUGGUCAAUGGGCGCGAGCCUGAACCAGCCAAGUCGCGUGAGGGAUGACGGCCCUACGGGUUGUAAACCUCUUUUGUCGGGGAGCAAAUUCCGUUACGUGUAACGGAGUCGAGAGUACCCGAAGAAAAAGCAUCGGCUAACUCCGUGCCAGCAGCCGCGGUAAUACGUAGGUGGCAAGCGUUAUCCGGAUUUACUGGGUGUAAAGGGCGUGUAGGCGGGAGAGCAAGUCAGACGUGAAAUUCCAGGGCUCAACCCUGGAACUGCGUUUGAAACUGUUCUUCUUGAGUGAUGGAGAGGCAGGCGGAAUUCCGUGUGUAGCGGUGAAAUGCGUAGAUAUACGGAGGAACACCAGUGGCGAAGGCGGCCUGCUGGACAUUAACUGACGCUGAGGCGCGAAAGCGUGGGGAGCAAACAGGAUUAGAUACCCCUGUAAAU
Molecule: ribosomal RNA, 468 nt
Filed under: uncultured bacterium
Lineage: Bacteria
Description: bacterial SSU rRNA
Rfam family: Bacterial small subunit ribosomal RNA
Source: RNAcentral